RNAcentral lists this ribosomal RNA (476 nucleotides) under uncultured organism. RNAcentral describes it as "partial 16S ribosomal RNA". It matches the Rfam family "Bacterial small subunit ribosomal RNA", at positions 333 to 800 of the family's 1533-position model. The record is from RNAcentral.
ACACUCCUACGGGAGGCAGCAGUGGGGAAUUUUGGACAAUGGGCGAAAGCCUGAUCCAGCCAUGCCGCGUGCAGGAUGAAGGCCUUCGGGUUGUAAACUGCUUUUGUACGGAACGAAACGGCCUUUUCUAAUAAAGAGGGCUAAUGACGGUACCGUAAGAAUAAGCACCGGCUAACUACGUGCCAGCAGCCGCGGUAAUACGUAGGGUGCAAGCGUUAAUCGGAAUUACUGGGCGUAAAGCGUGCGCAGGCGGUUAUGUAAGACAGUUGUGAAAUCCCCGGGCUCAACCUGGGAACUGCAUCUGUGACUGCAUAGCUAGAGUACGGUAGAGGGGGAUGGAAUUCCGCGUGUAGCAGUGAAAUGCGUAGAUAUGCGGAGGAACACCGAUGGCGAAGGCAAUCCCCUGGACCUGUACUGACGCUCAUGCACGAAAGCGUGGGGAGCAAACAGGAUUAGAAACCCUUGUAGUCCCAUGA